This 2179-nucleotide ribosomal RNA is filed under the name Klebsiella variicola. RNAcentral describes it as "bacterial LSU rRNA". It matches the Rfam family "Bacterial large subunit ribosomal RNA", at positions 1 to 2196 of the family's 2925-position model. The record is from RNAcentral. Lineage: Bacteria; Pseudomonadati; Pseudomonadota; Gammaproteobacteria; Enterobacterales; Enterobacteriaceae.
GGGUUGUGAGGUUAAGCGACUAAGCGUACACGGUGGAUGCCCUGGCAGUCAGAGGCGAUGAAGGACGUGCUAAUCUGCGAAAAGCGUCGGUAAGGUGAUAUGAACCGUUACAGCCGGCGAUGUCCGAAUGGGGAAACCCAGUGCAAUUCGUUGCACUAUCGUUAACUGAAUACAUAGGUUAACGAGGCGAACCGGGGGAACUGAAACAUCUAAGUACCCCGAGGAAAAGAAAUCAACCGAGAUUCCCCCAGUAGCGGCGAGCGAACGGGGAGCAGCCCAGAGUCUGAAUCAGCUUGUGUGUUAGUGGAACGGUCUGGAAAGUCCGACGGUACAGGGUGAUAGUCCCGUACACCAAAAUGCACAGGCUGUGAACUCGAAGAGUAGGGCGGGACACGUGGUAUCCUGUCUGAAUAUGGGGGGACCAUCCUCCAAGGCUAAAUACUCCUGACUGACCGAUAGUGAACCAGUACCGUGAGGGAAAGGCGAAAAGAACCCCGGCGAGGGGAGUGAAAAAGAACCUGAAACCGUGUACGUACAAGCAGUGGGAGCACCUUCGGGUGUGACUGCGUACCUUUUGUAUAAUGGGUCAGCGACUUAUAUUCUGUAGCAAGGUUAACCGUAUAGGGGAGCCGCAGGGAAACCGAGUCUUAACUGGGCGUUAAGUUGCAGGGUAUAGACCCGAAACCCGGUGAUCUAGCCAUGGGCAGGUUGAAGGUUGGGUAACACUAACUGGAGGACCGAACCGACUAAUGUUGAAAAAUUAGCGGAUGACUUGUGGCUGGGGGUGAAAGGCCAAUCAAACCGGGAGAUAGCUGGUUCUCCCCGAAAGCUAUUUAGGUAGCGCCUCGUGAACUCAUCUUCGGGGGUAGAGCACUGUUUCGGCUAGGGGGUCAUCCCGACUUACCAACCCGAUGCAAACUACGAAUACCGAAGAAUGUUAUCACGGGAGACACACGGCGGGUGCUAACGUCCGUCGUGAAGAGGGAAACAACCCAGACCGCCAGCUAAGGUCCCAAAGUCAUGGUUAAGUGGGAAACGAUGUGGGAAGGCACAGACAGCCAGGAUGUUGGCUUAGAAGCAGCCAUCAUUUAAAGAAAGCGUAAUAGCUCACUGGUCGAGUCGGCCUGCGCGGAAGAUGUAACGGGGCUAAACCAUGCACCGAAGCUGCGGCAGCGACACUAUGUGUUGUUGGGUAGGGGAGCGUUCUGUAAGCCUGCGAAGGUGGCCUGUGAGGGCUGCUGGAGGUAUCAGAAGUGCGAAUGCUGACAUAAGUAACGAUAAAGCGGGUGAAAAGCCCGCUCGCCGGAAGACCAAGGGUUCCUGUCCAACGUUAAUCGGGGCAGGGUGAGUCGACCCCUAAGGCGAGGCCGAAAGGCGUAGUCGAUGGGAAACAGGUUAAUAUUCCUGUACUUGGUGUUACUGCGAAGGGGGGACGGAGAAGGCUAUGUUAGCCGGGCGACGGUUGUCCCGGUUUAAGCAUGUAGGCGGAGGUUCCAGGUAAAUCCGGUACCUUUUAACGCUGAGGUGUGAUGACGAGGCACUACGGUGCUGAAGUAACAAAUGCCCUGCUUCCAGGAAAAGCCUCUAAGCAUCAGGUAACAUUAAAUCGUACCCCAAACCGACACAGGUGGUCAGGUAGAGAAUACCAAGGCGCUUGAGAGAACUCGGGUGAAGGAACUAGGCAAAAUGGUGCCGUAACUUCGGGAGAAGGCACGCUGGUGUGUAGGUGAAGUCCCUGCGGAUGGAGCUGAGACCAGUCGAAGAUACCAGCUGGCUGCAACUGUUUAUUAAAAACACAGCACUGUGCAAACACGAAAGUGGACGUAUACGGUGUGACGCCUGCCCGGUGCCGGAAGGUUAAUUGAUGGGGUUAUCCGUAAGGAGAAGCUCUUGAUCGAAGCCCCGGUAAACGGCGGCCGUAACUAUAACGGUCCUAAGGUAGCGAAAUUCCUUGUCGGGUAAGUUCCGACCUGCACGAAUGGCGUAAUGAUGGCCAGGCUGUCUCCACCCGAGACUCAGUGAAAUUGAACUCGCUGUGAAGAUGCAGUGUACCCGCGGCAAGACGGAAAGACCCCGUGAACCUUUACUAUAGCUUGACACUGAACAUUGAGCCUUGAUGUGUAGGAUAGGUGGGAGGCUUUGAAGCGUGGACGCCAGUCUGCGUGGAGCCAACCUUGAA